Molecule: regulatory RNA element, 45 nt
Organism: Gasterosteus aculeatus (three-spined stickleback)
Lineage: Eukaryota; Metazoa; Chordata; Actinopteri; Perciformes; Gasterosteidae
Rfam family: Histone 3' UTR stem-loop
About the family: The mRNAs of metazoan histone genes lack a poly-A tail. 3' end processing occurs at a site between a highly conserved stem-loop (modelled by this family) and a purine rich region around 20 nts downstream (the histone downstream element, or HDE).
Source: Rfam
ACAAAGGCUCUUUUAAGAGCCACUCACUUCUUCUAAAGAUGAUCU